CAAGGCUGGAAUGACUCACAUUGUUCGUGAGGUUGAGAAGCCAGGAUCAAAACUCCACAAGAAGGAGACUUGUGAAGCUGUGACAAUCAUUGAAACUCCACCCAUGGUUAUAGUUGGAGUGGUUGGUUAUCUUAAGACACCACGUGGCCUUCGCUCUCUUGCCACAGUAUGGGCUGAGCAUCUCAGUGAGGAGGUGAGGCGUAGGUUUUACAAGAACUGGUACAGAUCCAAGAAGAAGGCCUUCACAAAAUAUGCCCUGAAAUUUUCAACCGAGUCGGGGAAAAAAGAGGUUGAAGCAGAGCUUGAAAAAAUAAAGAAAUAUGCUACUGUUGUUCGUGUGCUUGCUCACACACAGAUAAGGAAGAUGAAGGGUUUG
Molecule: unclassified non-coding RNA, 376 nt
Filed under: Hevea brasiliensis (rubber tree)
Lineage: Eukaryota; Viridiplantae; Streptophyta; Magnoliopsida; Malpighiales; Euphorbiaceae
Source: RNAcentral